UUUGCAGGUUGUUAGACUGCCAGAAGCUCUCUUUAGAAGCUUGCACACACGCGGCGCAGAACGACAGAUUACCACUAAGAGUAAUCGUCCAAGUCCUCUUCUUUGAGCAGCUUCAGCUUAGAACCUCUGUAGCUGGAUGCUUCCUGGUUUCAGACAACCUCGAUGGUGGGUCAAGGCAGUUAAGAAGCGGCGGAUUUGCAGGAGGAUCAGCCGAAGGAGGAGGAGGAGGAUGGGCAAGUGCAGUAAGAGAGAAUCAAGUCUUGAAAGUUGGGAUGGACAGUAUGAGGAUGAGGGUUUGCGAGUUGGAGAAUGACUUGUAUGGUAUCUAUAAAAUGGUCUCUACGGAGAGGGAGCAUAUUAUAACCUUACUCGCACGCCAAAGAUUAGUGAGAAGGAUUGGAUUCUUUGAGUAAAGAUUAGGACGUAAUUAAUCAAACUUUCACACUUUAUGUAAUGUUAGCUACAAACAAAAAUGUUUGCUAAUUUCAAGAAUCAACACAAUGAGUAUGUUUGAAGAUACAAAGGAGUGAAGGACCCUCCAAGUGCAUGUGCUCAUAAUAAUAAUAAUUAAAAAAAUCUUCUAAUAUAAAUUUCGAGAUUUUCAAAUGUCCACCUUUUAUUACACUAUAUGGAUUAAAAUAAAGUUUCUAGAUUCUAAAGCAACCAAUACAAAAACACAAAAUAUUAACUAUAUUUAAUUUAAUUUUACUUUUUCCUUAUUACCAGACAUCAAUCAAUUGGCUAUAUGGUCCCCCUUACAUGUAUAUUCUCGUAUAAAGCAACAAGAACUGGUAAGUUACUUCUCUGCUUAGCUGUUCUUGUCUAGCUGGGUUUUUGGGGGUUCAGCUUCUUUCUUUCUUUUCAUUACUUUGCUGGGGGAAAAGGUUUUAAUUUGGUGUUACAGAUAAGAUUAUUUAAGAUUCUGAGUUUCUUUUAGUGGGGGGCUUUGGCCAAGGGGAUCUCUCUAUAUUAUUACACAUUCCGUGUGAUUCUUUUGGGCGUUGAGGUUUUAAUUUCUGGAAGAUUAAUGUGAGCUACUGAGUGUGGAGAAAGGAGGCAGCUUUUAAGUGUUUGUUCAAAUGUCUGAGUGAAAUUGAUCUGGGUAUUAAGGGAUAGAUCCAAAGUCUCUUUCUUUCUGAGAAAAUUAGCAGUUUUUUUUUUUUUUGGUUUGGUUGUUGUACGUUAGGGUUUUUGGAGGCUUAGCUAUUGUAAGUUUCUUUGUUGGAUUCUGUUGAGUGAGAGAAAGUAUGGCUUGCAUGAAGCUGGGAUCCAAAUCUGAUGCUUUCCAGAGACAAGGCCAGGCUUGGUAUAUUCACUUGCUCUCUACUUGUUUUAUAGUCUAUCUUUGUUCCAUUUUUUGCCCCUUCUUGAUUCUCCUCCUAAUGUCUCAUACUGGAUUUGAGACCUUUGGUCUCAGCAUUACUGAGUCAAAGUUUCCUCCUUUGUCUUCUUCUUUUUUGUGCUCAAAUAUUACAGGUUUUGCACAACUGGACUUCCAAGUGAUGUUGUCGUUGAAGUUGGGGAAAUGUCUUUCCAUCUCCACAAGGUAAACUUGAUUUGCUUGCUUGAACAAGACAACACUCUCUUCUUGAUGAAUCCUUACACUUACUGUAGAAACCAGUGUGUACCAAGCCUCCUCUUUGAGAAAAAAAAAUAAAGUUUUUCUUAUAGGCUUUUUGAUUCUGUGCUAUGUGCAGUUUCCUUUGCUCUCUAGAAGUGGAGUCAUGGAAAGAAACAUCGCAGAGGCAUCUCAAGAAGCAGAUGAUGACAAAUGUCUCAUUCAAAUCUCUGAUCUUCCCGGCGGAGACAAAACCUUCGAGCUAAUCGCCAAGUUCUGCUACGGUGUAAAACUCGAACUCACCGCUUCCAACGUUGUACACCUCAGAUGCGCAGCUGAGCAUCUCGAAAUGACUGAAGAGAACGCCGAAGGAAACCUAAUCUCCCAAACCGAAACUUUCCUCAACCAAGUCGUCCUCAAAAGCUGGAAAGACUCAAUAAAAGCCCUCCAAACCUGCAGCGAGGUCUCCCACUACGCUGAGGAGUUAAACAUCACCAAGAAAUGCAUAGAGUCGCUAGCCGUGAGAGCAUCAACAACAGACCCGAACCUUUUCGGAUGGCCGGUCGUGGACCCCAUGCAGAGUCCAGGUGGCAGCGUGUUAUGGAACGGCAUAAGCACGGGUGCUAGAGUUAAACACACUAGCUCAGAUUGGUGGUACGAGGACGCGUCCACACUUAGCUUUCCUCUCUUUAAGAGACUCAUCACAGUCAUGGACUCACGAGGAGGCGUAAGAGAAGACAUCAUCGCCGGUUCUUUAACUUACUACACAAGAAAACACUUACCCGGUUUAAAACGACGCCGUGGAGGACCUGAAGCUAGCGGUCGUUUCAGCAGCUCAGGGACGGUACUCUCCGAAGAAGAGCAGAAGCACUUGCUCGAAGAGAUCCAAGACCUUCUCCCCGUGCAAAAAGGUUUAGUCCCGACCAAGUUCUUCGUCGACAUGCUCAGAGUCGCCAAGAUUCUGAAGGCUAGCCCUAGCUGCGUAGCUAACUUGGAGAAGAGGAUAGGGAUGCAGCUCGACCAGGCGGCGUUGGAGGAUCUUGUGAUGCCUAGCUUUACUCAUACGAUGGAGACUCUAUACGAUGUUGACUCUGUGCAGAGGAUCUUGGAUCAUUUUCUUGGUACUGAUCAGAUUAUGACUGUUGGUGGUGGUGUUGGCUCUCCUUGCUCUUCGGUGGAUGAUGGGAACUUGAUGGGAUCACCGCAGAGGAUAACGCCGAUGAUGGCGGUUUCGAAGCUGAUUGAUGGGUAUCUUGCUGAAGUGGCUCCUGAUGUUAAUCUCAAGCUUCCGAAGUUUCAAACCUUAGCUGGUUCUGUUCCUGAGUGUGCUAGGCUCUUGGAUGAUGGACUAUAUCGCGCAAUAGACAUUUACUUAAAGGUAAGAAUUGUUUUUUAUAGCGCUGAACUGAAGUAAGACCGAACCGACCAAACUAAAUUUUUCUGUUUUCGGUUUAACAUCCGGUAGAACCAAUAAACCAAUCUGCCCAUUUUUAAAAUUUUAAUCGGUUUUUGGUUCGGUUCCGCAAGCAAGAACCGAUCAGUUUGAAACAUAUUUAACCAAAAAAACUGAAUAAACAGAAAUAACCUGAAACAAACUGAAUAAACCCGGAAAAUUAAAAUUUACAUAACCGAGUUUUUGUUUUUACCAAAUUAACCGAAUGAACCGAUAUGUUAAACAAAUUUUGGUUCAAUUCGGAAUAAAUAAUAAUACCGAAAACCUACCCGAAUAAUCCGAAUUCCGAACCAAAUAAAACCAAAAUAUAGUUCGGUUUCCAAAACCGAAAAACCGAAUAAACCAACCCAAAAAACCGAAAAAAACUAAUGUCCAACUCUACUGUUUUAUUUAACAAAGACUUAUUAAGUUGCUUCUUUUAUUCAUUUGAUGAUCUGCAGCAUCAUCCGUGGUUAGCGGAAACAGAGAGAGAGAAUCUUUGCAGGUUGUUAGACUGCCAGAAGCUCUCUUUAGAAGCUUGCACACACGCGGCGCAGAACGACAGAUUACCACUAAGAGUAAUCGUCCAAGUCCUCUUCUUUGAGCAGCUUCAGCUUAGAACCUCUGUAGCUGGAUGCUUCCUGGUUUCAGACAACCUCGAUGGUGGGUCAAGGCAGUUAAGAAGCGGCGGAUUUGCAGGAGGAUCAGCCGAAGGAGGAGGAGGAGGAUGGGCAAGUGCAGUAAGAGAGAAUCAAGUCUUGAAAGUUGGGAUGGACAGUAUGAGGAUGAGGGUUUGCGAG
This 3790-nucleotide long non-coding RNA is filed under the name Brassica napus (rape). Its description in RNAcentral is "long non-coding RNA (BNAP_LNC014283)". The record is from RNAcentral. Lineage: Eukaryota; Viridiplantae; Streptophyta; Magnoliopsida; Brassicales; Brassicaceae.